UCACCUCCCCACUUCCUGCCACGCCCUCCUGUCCCUUUUGCGACCCAUGUCCCCUCCUGCCCCCCGGGAAUUCCACUGGGAAUGAACGAGAAAAACCCAGGAAUUAUAGUGGGAAUGAGAGCAGAAAUUGCACUGGGAAUUAAUGGGAAAACACCAGGAAUUACACUGGGAAUUAGUGGGAAAACCACGGAAUUACCCUGGGAAAACAGCAGGAAUGGAUGGGAAAACACUGGGAAUCACAGCAGGAAUUAACAGGAAAACCUGGGAAAUCCACUGGGAAUGGAGAGGGAAACUCCAGGAAUUCCAGCGGGAAUUAACGGGAAUUAAUGCUGUGCGGGAGUGUGUUCUUUAUUCUUUCAGUGUCUGUACACACCUCCCCCCCAUCUCACUCCUAACCCCCUUCUCUCCAAGAUGUGAAUCUCCCCUCCCCCCGCUUCUUUCCCUGCCCCCUUUAGUCCUACCCCAAACUCCUCCCCUGUUAUUCCCCUAUUGGUUGCUGUUCCUAUACCCCUCCCCAUAGGUUCUUGUAUAAAACAUCUGCUCGCCCGCCCCAAGGGGUCUUGGGGCACGUGAAAUAAACGGAACCUAUUCACCCCAAGUCCCGUGCCACCUCCAUCUGUCCCCGCGCCGAUAACCGGGACAGCAGAGCUUUCGCAGGGGGACCGGCCGCCCGUUCUCUUCCAUCGCCGCCCAACACGCCCACGCUCGGGGUGUCCCGGUGAAAGGGGACUGCAAUGCAACAAAUGGUAGCAGAGGAUGGUUCCCUCCUUCGUCUUGUAAAACAAACGGGCAAAUUCGUGGGGGCGCCCGCCUCACGGAAGAAGAAGGAGGGAAGAGGAACAUCUGCGGUCGUAGAAGCUUUGCCGGACGCUAAGAGGAGCCAAGUGCCGAGCGAAAAGAAUUCGGCUCCGGGACCCUCCUUUGUUCUCGCCUCCGUGCGCUCCACCCCACCCCUGCUGAGAUCAGCCGUACUGCACUGGGGCAGACAUGCUGCAGGGGCUUUGAAGGGGGGGUAGACCUACUCCAGAACAAGGAGGGCGGUUUGGCAGCGGCUCAAGGGAGCCCGAAGGACGGCGAGUCAGGGGACAGCACUUGAACGUGACCACCAGAGGCCGAUAGUGGUCGAGCCCAACGCUUCAGGGACAAGUUUUGGGUGCAGCCGAGAUCGGCUGGACUUGCCUGCAAGUCCCGGGAACACCUAAGCCUCUGGAAGAGCCAAACCUAGAAGGAACGUCCCCAGUUCGGCGCGACUUUUCCACCAAGUCGAGGAGAAGAAUCAAGCCAUCUCCACCCGGGCCCCAGAGGAAAGAAAGAUCAUGCUAUUUAGUUUAUACCCACGGUAUUAUGCCCACUCCGGAAAUAAAGAAUAAAAUCAGACAAGCCAUGUCGCUGCUCGCUGCUUCAACUCCGCUAUACAUCUCCAGUGCCGCGACAGCCCAAGUUUCGAAUCAGAUCAAGCUGUGAAUCCUGCUAAAUGUUUUACCCUGAAUUCAGGAUUUGUUUAUGUCAAUUUUAUACGCUUUGUAUAUUAAUUUGUUUUAUUGUAAUUAUAACUAAUUUGUACUUUUCUGAUGUUUUUCAACUUAUUUCUGUUUAAUAAUUUGUAAUGUUACUAUAUGAUUUUGUUGUAUUUUAUAUAUGAGGUUUAUAUUGUUUAUAUGCAGUAUUUGUUUAAUGUCCAAGAUUAAAAAAAGAACGGUUUCCUAUUUACCAUCUGAGUAGGAGUUGCCUUGAGGCAGUUUUCCUUAUCUGCUGUUAAUAGCCCCAUCAAUGCCUUGCUACAUGACUCAGAGAUAACACUGUCCAGGAGCAGGUGAUUAAGGACACACCUCGUGACUCAUAAUGACCCAUUGUGAGAUGCUCUGCACAGGGGGGAGGAGCUAGGCAUUCCAACCUGGAUAAAACUGGGGUUUUCUAGACAGAGGGUCAGCCUUUUCACAGGUUCUCCGAGAAGACACAGCAACUACAUCUGCCAUCCCA
Non-coding RNA from Taeniopygia guttata (zebra finch), 1980 nucleotides. Lineage: Eukaryota; Metazoa; Chordata; Aves; Passeriformes; Estrildidae. The record is from RefSeq and is a predicted model, not a curated record.